RNAcentral lists this unclassified non-coding RNA (247 nucleotides) under Glomus sp. RNAcentral describes it as "partial contains 5.8S ribosomal RNA and internal transcribed spacer 2". The record is from RNAcentral. Lineage: Eukaryota; Fungi; Glomeromycota; Glomeromycetes; Glomerales; Glomeraceae.
GUGAAUCAUCGAAUUUUUGAACGCAAAUUGCACUCUCCUCGGAGAGCAUGCCUGUUUGCGGGUGAGCCUCUGAAAAAUCGUCAUCGUCGCUGUUUCGCGGUCGCGUUCGUCGGAACUUGGGUCAUCUUCAUUCUUUUCGUUUUAAGCGACUUAAAAUUUUCUUUUUGGUUCAAUGAACGUUUCUAAGAUUUAUUUCUUUACACGUUUCAGGUAUCGGUUUUUAUUAGACGUUGCGAUCAUAUCGGCU